UGAAAGGCGAAACGUAAUGUGAAUCGCAACUAACAGUGAAUCAUUGAAUCUUUGAACGCAGGCCGCAGCUCAUGACAUCGCUUUUGUGUUGUUAUAAGCUAUCUACGUAUGAGUGUCAGCCUAAUAUCAUUUUAUGGUUCAAGAAGAGUGUCACUUGUGACUCAGACUCUUGGAUACAGACUUUAUAGUAAUAUGAAUGUCUGGCCUCAUAUGUGGAAGAUUACCCGCUGGAUUUAA
This 237-nucleotide unclassified non-coding RNA is filed under the name uncultured fungus. RNAcentral describes it as "sequence contains ITS1". The stretch from base 1 to 118 matches the Rfam family "5.8S ribosomal RNA", at positions 49 to 154 of the family's 154-position model. The record is from RNAcentral. Lineage: Eukaryota; Fungi.